RNAcentral lists this long non-coding RNA (1907 nucleotides) under Vigna radiata. Its description in RNAcentral is "long non-coding RNA (VRAD_LNC017426)". The record is from RNAcentral. Lineage: Eukaryota; Viridiplantae; Streptophyta; Magnoliopsida; Fabales; Fabaceae.
CAACCUUUGUCAGCCCAGGAAGAUCUAUGAGGGUUAAGUUUACGACUGCAAAAAAUGCCACAUAACUAUGUCAAAAAAUAUAUUAAUGUAAAGUUCACUUUUAAAAAAAGCAGAAGACUAAAUCCUCCAAGUUUUGGAACAGAAGAUUCAUUCAACGAUAUCAAAAAAUGUAGCCAUUCUUUAAAUUAUAAGCCAUAAAUAGUCACCACGAUGAAAUCAGAAAUAAGAUGGAAAUGGUAAUAAAGAGAUACAACACAGAGACACAAAUUCUAUAGCACACACACCGUCACAGAGACAAAACAACAUCAAAAACAACAUCAAACACCAUCAAGUACAAUUUCUACUCCAAGAAAAUUCAAUUUUGAAAAUAAAAAUUACCUCGAAAACAAAAAGCACGAUGAUGGAAACCUUUGCAGACCACGACCACGAUGAUGCACCGCCACUGCCACAAACGCUAUACCACGACCCACCACCCUGCCGGAAACACCACGUCACCAACGACCACACCUCCACGGGAGACUCACCCUCGACACCACCAGCCCUCAACGCAGUAACCACUCGAACCCUAGCCCAAGACUCCCAAACCAGAACGCACCGUGAAGGAACCCUAUUCGAGAAUGACCACCACCAGGACUAUCCGAGAAAGUGAGAGAGGGUGAAGAAAAGGCGGGACGUGAAAAGGGAGGGAAUUGUUUGAAGGAAACGACGAACUCGACGAAGGCUGAAGAAAGUGAAAUUGGGGAACGAAAACCCCAACUGAGGUUUUAAAUCAGGAAGGAACUUACCGACGGCUCAAAAGCCUUCGGUAAGCAUAACAUUACCCACGGCCUCAAGGCCUUCGGUAAUAUGUCGUAGAUAAAUCGCGCUUUUCCUGUAGUAUGUACACUGUUUGGAACAACUAUGGUUAGAAAAAAUCAAUUAACUUUUCAAAACACAAUANCUCUGUAAAACUAGUCAAGAUUUGUACCACAUUCAAUGAAACUAGUCAAGAUUUGUCUUGCAGAUUCACUAUCGAAAUCCAUUUGAACUCCUCUGUAAAAUUCUUUAAGCUCAUUCUGCCUCUUAAAGACCAAAUGUUUCAAUCUGCAAAUAUCAAACCACAAAUACUUAAGUAUUGAAGUGAACAUCUGGAUUCUAAGUUCAAAUCAAAAAAAGAUUAAUUUCAGCAUUAGCAGAUGAAGUAUCAACCUGUGGUUGUCUUUCUUCAAAAGAUGAAAAAAGAUUGCACUCCAUUGUAUCUAAAUAUUUUAAAGGAAAAUUCAUCAAUAUAUAUACAAACAUAUACACACACUAGACAUUUCUAACUUUAAAAGAAAAACAAUUAAAGCCUUUAUUCCAAACAAUAACAAAAAAUAUUUAGCUUAACUGAGCAGAAUUAAAGAGCAAUCUAAAUUCAAGAUGCUAAAACUGAACAAGAACUAGAUCAUGNAUAUAAAUUCUGACACAUGCAGAGANGCAUAGAAAAACACAUGAUAAAAUAUGAAGUAUCUUGAAAGCUAAAAAGACCUUUGCAAUUUCACAUUCCAUCACUGGAAUUUUUUUAGAGUUGGAUCCAUAAGUGGCGAAGAAAUUUAGGAGCUACCAAUUAAAGUGUAUAUUAAAGGAAAUGCUACCAAUUAGUUUAAAGGAAUGAGUUAAUAAAUUAUCCAAAGGCAUGGUUAUCUAAAGAAAAAGGCACGAAAGCAAGAACAUAAGUGAAAAUUAAAUGGAUUUUAUAAGAAAAAGUGGUAAAAAUUUAAAUCAGUAUUCAAUCUUUUUGUUUCCAAAAAGUCUUUUUAUUGUUUUAAAAGCACUAGUAAUAUCAUUAUCACUUUAGAUUUCAAGAAAACUAACAAUAUGGUGUCAGGUCAGACCUAUUGCAGAUAGUAUACACAAACUUCAACCUUUCAUGUGAUCCCUUAGAUACU